Molecule: long non-coding RNA, 1745 nt
Organism: Macaca mulatta (Rhesus monkey)
Lineage: Eukaryota; Metazoa; Chordata; Mammalia; Primates; Cercopithecidae
Source: Ensembl
CCAAUGGCCCUACAGUAAUAUUAACUUUACUUUUAUUGUAUCUUAAUUGUUGAGGGAUUGGGGGUGGGAGGCUGCUGGAUGAGGAGUCAGCAACGCCUGCAGUGGUGACUACUUCUUUCCUUAUUUCCGAAAUGAAAUCAGGGGUUGUGGAAGCAUUUAUGGUAACCUUGGCUCACGACUGUCUUGCUGUUGCCCUCUGGAAAGCUUUAAAUGAUCUUUGAGAAAUCUCUUUCCCAGGCGAGAUGACUCGGAGAAGUUCACUCAGCAAAGCCAUUGAGGACCACACUCUUGUUCCAGGGUAUGACUGCUUGCCUGAUGCUGCCCCAGAGAAAAGCGUGAGGAACAUUAACAUUCUACCCAGACCGCCAAAGAUGAUUUGACUCAUAACUCAAGAACAGACAUAGAAGAAGAAUUUUCAAAAACGAAACAUCUGUAAUGAGAGGAGUGUCAUUAGCAUUUUAAACUCUGGACCGAUUUUAAUAAGAUUUUGAUAUGUUUGUCAUUAAUUUGUUAUCAAUGGAAAGAUACAGUUCUUGAAAAAAUAUAAAGUACUUUUCCAUGCAUUUAUCCAGCAAGUACUCUUGGGCACCUGCUAUGUACUGGGCACUGUGAUAAUUGUUUAGACUGUGUUGAGGUGAACAGAACAGGCACAACAGAAUGCCCUUAUGGACAGUCAAUAAACAUGUGUAUUUCCUUGUUGCUAAGUGCUAUGAAGACAAAAAACAGAUAGCUGUGGCAGAAAAUAAAGAGAGGAUCUAAUACAGCCUUGGGCAGUUAGGGAAGACUGCUGAGUUUUGAAGAACCAGAAGUUAAUGAUGUGAAUAGUGAAUAGAGGAAUGCUCCAGGUAGGGGAGGCAGAUUGUACUGCUGAAUGUCCAUCCAACCACCACCCAGAAGUCAAAAAGGUGUGCAGAGUGUUUCCCAAAUUAAUUAAGUGAUUAAGGAGGCUGUAAUGAGGCUUAUGUGUACCCCUUGGACUGGCACACAUGCAUACAAAAACAAACACAAUCGUCACCACCACCACCACCAUUAACCAUAGAUGCAGAAAACACAAGUGGAAAUGUUGACAUAUUAAAGUGCUUGCAAAGCCUUGAUGUGAUCAAUGUCACCACAUACUAGUCAUCCCUAGAAAGCAGGUCUUAAGAGAAAGUAGAAACUCCUAGGGCAUCCUCUGACAUGAGGAUCAGUCACUGCUAUUAGAAACGUGUAGCCAAGGUAAAAAGGAGACUAACUGUUCCAAAACCUUGGAGAAUUGAGACUAGAACAUAAAAUAAAUGUGAGAGUAAGUCAGGUGUAGCAGAAAUCAUGAAGGUGAUGAAAAGUCUAUGAGAAUCAUAAAUAACCAGGUAGAUACUUUCUUAAAAAUGUCAUUAUCUAAUAUAGAAUUUAACUUAAGAAUUACGAGCUAUACAUUUUGAGCACCUCUCCUCACCUCUAACUUUCCACGUUUUCUAAAAUCUGUCAUGACUUUGGAAAUGACUUUUAGUAGCUAGAUUGACUAAGGGAAAAUAACUUGGAAACUUGGUACAGAUUUGAGGAAACAAGGAUUUUUGAAAAAAACAAUUUUAUGUUCACAGUAUCCUAAGCUACUCAGAACUAGGUAGUGUUAUAUAAAAGGACCAUAUGUUCACAGUGGAUAAUUUAAAUAGAGCCUACAGAGUCCUUCUAGUCCUUCUAUGGCACUGUUUAAUACAGUAGCCAUAUGUAGUCAUAGGACAUUUGGAAUAUAGCUAGUCCGAAUUCAG